Long non-coding RNA from Sarcophilus harrisii (Tasmanian devil), 1616 nucleotides. Lineage: Eukaryota; Metazoa; Chordata; Mammalia; Dasyuromorphia; Dasyuridae. The record is from Ensembl.
UAAUUUUUCAGCACUGACAAUUGCAAAACCUUUUGUUCCAACUUUUCCCCUCUUUCCCCUCACCCCUUCCCCCAGAUGGCAGGUUGACCAAUACAUGUUGAAUAUGUUAAAGUAUAAAUUAAUUACAAUAUAUGUAUACAUGUCCAUAGAGUUAUUUUGCUGUACAAAAAGAAUCGAACUUUGAAAUAGUGUACAAUUAGCCUGUGAAGGAAAUCAAAAAUGCAGGCGGACCAAAAAUAGAGGGAUUGGAAAUUCUAUGUAGUGGUUCAUAGUCAUCUCUCAGAGUUCUUUCGCUGGGUGUAGCUGGUUCAGUUCAUUACUGCUGUACUGGAACUGAUUUGGUUCAUCUCAUAGUUGAAGAGGGCCACGUCCACCAGAAUUGAUCAUCAUAUAGUAUUAUUGUUGAAAUAUAUACUUCCUGCUCAUUUCACUCAGCAUCAGUUCAGGUAAGUCUCUCUCUCCAGGCCUUUCUGGAAUUAUCCUGCUGGUCAUUUUUUAUAGAAUAAUAAUAUUCCAUAAUAUUCAUAUACCACAAUUUAUUGAGCCAUUCUCCAAUUGAUGGGCAUCCACUCAGUUUCCAGUGUCUGCCCACUACAAAGAGGGCUGCCACAAACAUUCUUGCAUAUACAGGUCUCUUUCCCUUCUUUAAAAUCUCUUUGGGAUAUAAGCCCAGUACAAACUUGAAGAUUUUCAAGAUUUUGUUUCAAUAAAAUAUGAACUCAAUAGAAAACUUAGCAUAAUGAAGAACCAACAUCAAAGACUAUUUCAAAGGUCUCAAAAAGGACCAAUUGUUUAUGUUUCAUACAUGAAAAUAUAAACCAUAUAUCUAAGAUUGACAUUAGUAACUGUGUAGCUCAAAAGGAAAGUUUGGAGGAGCACAGUCAAAUAUGAUUUAACUCUAAAAUGCGUAACAGUCUAGGAAAAGGUAAAAAAAAAAUUAUGCCUUCCUUACAGAGGAAGAACUAACUGACAUGAGGCAUUAGGGGAGGAGGGCUAGUAGUUCUGAAAACCUAUUCACAUUGGGAAUGCGUUAAAUAGGGAAUAUUUUGAAUCCUCCCUGAUGUUUUGUUAGGCACAUGACAGCAUUUUGUUAUUUUCCUUUUUCUGUCUUUUUUGUUUUUUCUUAUUUUGUAUUUGUCUUAAGUAAAUAAAUGCCAUUUAAAUAAAUAUAUAGCACGAAGGAUAUGGCACCUUUCAAAAUCUAUUAAAGAAAUAAUGGGAGAGGGAAUAGUACAAGGGGGUAGAGGAGUAUGUAGAUUUAUGGCAGUGGGACAAGGUGUGAGGACUAAUGGGGAAAGGGAUAAAAAGGAAAGGAAAUGGUAACAUAGGAUAAGGUGGAGUACAGGAUAGUGUUUAGAUUAAUGGAAGUGGGCUAAGUAUGGUUAAUGGGAAUGGGAUAAAGAGGAAGGGAAAUGGUGGAGGGGGGAGAAGAGAGGUUUCUAUGGCGGGGGCAGGAGGGGGGAGGCCAAGUUAAGGAAUAGCAAGGCAAAUUAAGGAGUAAAACUAAUUAAGUAUUAGCAGGGAUAGGAAAUGAGAUAUACACAAAUAUUAAAAAGGAUAAGAAGUAGAAUUUAUUAGGAAAAAAAGUAGGGCUAGUAAUCACUGAUCCCAAGUAA